GCAAACUUGGUCAUUUAGAGGAAGUAAAAGUCGUAACAAGGUCUCCGUAGGUGAACCUGCGGAGGGAUCAUUAACGAAUGGUCUUGGUACCUUCAAAACCCCUCAAACCAGUGGACAUGAAAAAUGUGCUUCGGCGCUCCGGCGCCGCUUUUAUGCUGUAAUUCUGUCGUUUGUGUCUGAAUACAAAACAAAGAAUUAAAACUUUCAACAAAGGAUCUCUUGGCUCUCUAGAGGAAGUAAAAGUCGUAACAAGGUCUCCGUAGGUGAACCUGCGGAGGGAUCAUUAACGAAUGGUCUUGGUACCUUCAAAACCCCUCAAACCAGUGGACAUGAAAAAUGUGCUUCGGCGCUCCGGCGCCGCUUUUAUGCUGUAAUUCUGUCGUUUGUGUCUGAAUACAAAACAAAGAAUUAAAACUUUCAACAAAGGAUCUCUUGGCUCUCGCAUCGAUGAAGAACGCAGC
Molecule: unclassified non-coding RNA, 461 nt
Filed under: uncultured fungus
Lineage: Eukaryota; Fungi
Description: partial contains small subunit ribosomal RNA, internal transcribed spacer 1, and 5.8S ribosomal RNA
Rfam family: Eukaryotic small subunit ribosomal RNA (bases 1-73)
Source: RNAcentral